CCUACGGGUGGCAGCAGUGGGGAAUAUUGGGCAAUGGGCGCAAGCCUGACCCAGCAACGCCGCGUGAAGGAAGAAGGCCCUCGGGUUGUAAACUUCUUUUGUCAGGGACGAAGAAAGUGACGGUACCUGACGAAUAAGCCACGGCUAACUACGUGCCAGCAGCCGCGGUAAUACGUAGGUGGCAAGCGUUAUCCGGAUUUACUGGGUGUAAAGGGCGUGUAGGCGGGACUGCAAGUCAGAUGUGAAAUUCCAGGGCCCAACCCUGGAACUGCAUUUGAAACUGUAGUUCUUGAGUGAUGGAGGGGUAGGGGGAAUGCGUGGGGGAGGGGGGAAAUGCGUAGAUA
RNAcentral lists this ribosomal RNA (344 nucleotides) under uncultured bacterium. Its description in RNAcentral is "partial 16S ribosomal RNA". It matches the Rfam family "Bacterial small subunit ribosomal RNA", at positions 338 to 696 of the family's 1533-position model. The record is from RNAcentral.